This 354-nucleotide RNase P RNA is filed under the name chicken gut metagenome. RNAcentral's name for it is "Bacterial RNase P class A". It matches the Rfam family "Bacterial RNase P class A". From Rfam's summary of the family: Ribonuclease P (RNase P) is a ubiquitous endoribonuclease, found in archaea, bacteria and eukarya as well as chloroplasts and mitochondria. Its best characterised activity is the generation of mature 5'-ends of tRNAs by cleaving the 5'-leader elements of precursor-tRNAs. Cellular RNase Ps are ribonucleoproteins. The record is from RNAcentral.
GCAAGCUGGGCAGCCGCGCGGCGGGGGCGAAAGGUCCCGCUGUGAGGAAAGUCCGGGCUCCGCAGGGCAAGGAUAACGGGUAACACCCGCCGGGGGCGACCCCAGGAAAAGUGCAACAGAGAUAGACCGCCGCCCGCCUCCUGUGAGGGGAGCGGUAAGGGUGGAAAGGCGGAGGUAAGAGCCCGCCCGACGGCGUGGAAGCGUCCGUCGCUGUAAACUCUAUCCGGAGCAACGCCGUGGAGGGACAUAUGGUCGGCCCGACCGUCCCAGGGAGGCGGCUGGAGCGCACCGGCAACGGUACGUCGAGAUAGAUGGCUGUCUUAAAGGACAGAACCCGGCUUACAGGCUUACUUG